RNAcentral lists this ribosomal RNA (717 nucleotides) under Metaporcelaimus labiatus. RNAcentral describes it as "SSU rRNA". It matches the Rfam family "Eukaryotic small subunit ribosomal RNA", at positions 174 to 892 of the family's 1831-position model. The record is from RNAcentral. Lineage: Eukaryota; Metazoa; Nematoda; Enoplea; Dorylaimida; Aporcelaimidae.
AUAAAGCUCCGCCCUGCGAAGGAACGAGCGCAUUUAUUAGAAUAAAAACCAAUCGGGUUUCGGCCCGUAAUUUGGUGAAUCUGAAUAACUUUGCCAAUCGCACGGUCCUAGUACCGGCGAUAUAUCUUUCAAGUGUCUGCCUUAUCAACUUUCGUUGGUAGGUUAUACGCCUACCAAGGUAGUAACGGGUAACGGAGAAUAAGGGUUCGACUCCGGAGAGGGAGCCUGAGAAACGGCUACCACAUCCAAGGAAGGCAGCAGGCGCGCAAAUUACCCACUUCCAGAACGGAGAGGUAGUGACGAAAAAUAACGAGACAGUCCUCUUCGAGGUCUGUCAUCGGAAUGGGUACAAUUUAAAUCCUUUAACGAGGAUCUAUUGGAGGGCAAGUCUGGUGCCAGCAGCCGCGGUAAUUCCAGCUCCAAUAGCGUAUAUGAAAGUUGUUGCGGUUAAAACGCUCGUAGUUGGAUCUGCGGCCUCGACGAACGGUCCCCCGAAAGGGCGGUCACUGUCUCGUCUAGCCUAAAUUCGUGUCGUCCCUAGGUGUUCUUAACCGAGUGCCUAGGGUGACCAGAAGGUUUACUUUGAAAAAAUGAGAGUGCUUAAGCAGGCGAAAUAGCCGGAAUAAAAAGCACGGAAUAAUGGAAUAGGACCUCGGUUCUAUUUUGUUGGUUUUCGGAACCCGAGGUAAUGAUUAAGAAGGAACAGACGGGGGGCAU